RNAcentral lists this unclassified non-coding RNA (226 nucleotides) under Hevea brasiliensis (rubber tree). The record is from RNAcentral. Lineage: Eukaryota; Viridiplantae; Streptophyta; Magnoliopsida; Malpighiales; Euphorbiaceae.
GGAAUCCGUUCAAGACAUGGACACAAGUGAGAGAAUUUUAAGAGUGAACAAAAGAUCUAGAAGCACAAAUAGUCCCAUGAAGUACACUCAGCCAGAGGAUGGUGGAUCAAUUUUCAAGGGCGAUGAGGACAAUCAUCAUAGCCAACAAACAAGUCAGGAGGAUUAUACCAAGUUCACCGUUCAGAAGCUUAAGCAAGAACUUACAAAACAUAACUUUGGCGCCGAA